AGUAUGGGAGAGGAUGGUAGAAUUCCAGGUGUAGCGGUGAAAUGCGUAGAGAUCUGGAGGAAUACCGAUGGCGAAGGCAGCCAUCUGGCCUAAUACUGACGCUGAGGUACGAAAGCAUGGGGAGCAAACAGGAUUAGAUACCCUGGUAGUCCAUGCCGUAAACGAUGUCUACUAGCCGUUGGGGCCUUUGAGGCUUUAGUGGCGCAGCUAACGCGAUAAGUAGACCGCCUGGGGAGUACGGUCGCAAGACUAAAACUCAAAUGAAUUGACGGGGGCCCGCACAAGCGGUGGAGCAUGUGGUUUAAUUCGAUGCAACGCGAAGAACCUUACCUGGCCUUGACAUACUAAGAACUUUCCAGAGAUGGAUUGGUGCCUUCGGGAACUUAGAUACAGGUGCUGCAUGGCUGUCGUCAGCUCGUGUCGUGAGAUGUUGGGUUAAGUCCCGCAACGAGCGCAACCCUUUUCCUUAUUUGCCAGCGGGUAAUGCCGGGAACUUUAAGGAUACUGCCAGUGACAAACUGGAGGAAGGCGGGGACGACGUCAAGUCAUCAUGGCCCUUACGGCCAGGGCUACACACGUGCUACAAUGGUCGGUACAAAGGGUUGCUACCUCGCGAGAGGAUGCUAAUCUCAAAAAGCCGAUCGUAGUCCGGAUCGCAGUCUGCAACUCGACUGCGUGAAGUCGGAAUCGCUAGUAAUCGCGGAUCAGAAUGCCGCGGUGAAUACGUUCCCGGGCCUUGUACACACCGCCCGUCACACCAUGGGAGUUUGUUGCACCAGAAGUAGGUAGUCUAACCGCAAGGAGGACGCUUAC
Molecule: ribosomal RNA, 813 nt
Filed under: Acinetobacter schindleri
Lineage: Bacteria; Pseudomonadati; Pseudomonadota; Gammaproteobacteria; Moraxellales; Moraxellaceae
Description: bacterial SSU rRNA
Rfam family: Bacterial small subunit ribosomal RNA
Source: RNAcentral